Molecule: ribosomal RNA, 566 nt
Filed under: uncultured bacterium
Lineage: Bacteria
Description: bacterial SSU rRNA
Rfam family: Bacterial small subunit ribosomal RNA
Source: RNAcentral
AACGCGUGGGAACAUACCCUUCUCUAAGGAAUAGCCACUGGAAACGGUGAGUAAUACCUUAUACGCCCUUCGGGGGAAAGAUUUAUCGGAGAAGGAUUGGCCCGCGUUAGAUUAGAUAGUUGGUGGGGUAAUGGCCUACCAAGUCUACGAUCUAUAGCUGGUUUGAGAGGAUGAUAGCAACACUGGGACCGAGACACGGCCCAGACUCCUACGGGAGGCAGCAGUGGGGAAUCUUAGACAAUGGGCGCAAGCCUGAUCUAGCCAUGCCGCGUGAGUGAUGAAGGCCCUAGGGUCGUAAAGCUCUUUCGCCAGAGAUGAUAAUGACAGUAUCUGGUAAAGAAACCCCGGCUAACUCCGUGCCAGCAGCCGCGGUAAUACGGAGGGGGUUAGCGUUGUUCGGAAUUACCGGGCGUAAAGCGCGCGUAGGCGGACUAUUAAGUUAGAGGUGAAAUCCCGGGGCUCAACCCCGGAACUGCCUUUAAUACUGGUAGUCUUGAGUUCGAGAGAGGUGAGUGGAAUUCCAAGUGUAGAGGUGAAAUUCGUAGGUAUUUGGAGGAACACCAGUG